Molecule: ribosomal RNA, 497 nt
Filed under: uncultured bacterium
Lineage: Bacteria
Description: partial 16S ribosomal RNA
Rfam family: Bacterial small subunit ribosomal RNA
Source: RNAcentral
GAUGAACGCUGGCGGCGUGCCUAACACAUGCAAGUCGAGCGAACAGACGAGGAGCUUGCUCCUCUGACGUUAGCGGCGGACGGGUGAGUAACACGUGGAUAACCUACCUAUAAGACUGGGAUAACUUCGGGAAACCGGAGCUAAUACCGGAUAAUAUAUUGAACCGCAUGGUUCAAUAGUGAAAGACGGUUUUGCUGUCACUUAUAGAUGAAUCCGCGCCGCAUUAGCUAGUUGGUAAGGUAACGGCUUACCAAGGCAACGAUGCGUAGCCGACCUGAGAGGGUGAUCGGCCACACUGGAACUGAGACACGGUCCAGACUCCUACGGGAGGCAGCAGUAGGGAAUCUUCCGCAAUGGGCGAAAGCCUGACGGAGCAACGCCGCGUGAGUGAUGAAGGUCUUCGGAUCGUAAAACUCUGUUAUUAGGGAAGAACAAAAGUGUAAGUAACUAUGCACGUCUUGACGGUACCUAAACAGAAAGCAACGGCUAACUACGUG